UUCCCCAAUUGAAUCUUGAGAUGAGUGUGGCCCUGGGCUGGAAUGUUGAUUGCAGGCAUUUAAGAAACCCUGAAGCUGAGGAAUCAGGUAAGUCAUGCUCAGAUUCCUGAUCCAGAGAAAACAUGAAACUAUAAAUGUCUCCUAUUUAAGCCAAUAAGAUUUGGAAUAAUUUAUUAUGCAGCAAUAGGUAGGUAAUACAAUAUGCACUAUUAGUUAAAUAUGAGGAAUUAUGACAUGAUGUGUUUUAAGAAAGCUUCAUGAAGAAAGGGAAUGAGCUGAAUUUUAAAGGGAGAAUAUUAGUUGUUGUUUAAUUCAACUUAGCACAUUUAAAAAAUUGCAAUGACUAAAUAAAAUAAUGCUGGGAAGAUCCAAAAGAAGAAAAGCAUUUAAUUGGAAUGGAAUAAGACGCAACUGAAAGCAGGAAAAGUCAAUUGCUUAUGAAAAGAUAGGAGAAUCAUUAGAAAGAUUUUUUUUUAAAUGAGAGGGAGAGAGAGAGGAGGAAGAAGGGAAAGGGGAAUAAAGGAGAGAAGAGAGACAAAAAGAUGGCACAGAGAGAGAAAAUUAGAUGUGAAUCUUAAUUUCUAUGUGAAUAGCUUAUAAAACAUUUUGUAAUUUAGCCAUAAAUAUAGGUAUUUGAGUUACUGUAAAUAGUAAGAAAUUUCUCUAAACAUUAUUAAAUAGGAUAUUCGAAAUAUGUUUGUAUUUCACAAAUACUAUAAUAAUUAUAAAAGUGUUAGGGAUAUUUUACUCUAGAAAUUUCGAAAGCUUCAGGAGGAAUCAGCAGUAUUUGUGAGUGUGUUGUCUGUAAUCCUUUCCACUAUCAAGUGUGAAAGACAUGCACAUAAACUCACUCUGUGUUGAGUGUAAGGCACCAUGCUCUGUUUUCAGGCACCUAGUGAAUGUCUCCAUGGUGACUAUCUAUACACUUCAGCAGUGGGACACCAGAAAAUACAGACUCUGUGGAUACAAAGAUGCCAAGAUAGAGAAUAUAACCAAGUAGCCAAGGUUUGGGCACUGAAUGAAGAAGGCACACUCUGGGAAAAGCCACUACUGCAGGAAUAA
This 1062-nucleotide long non-coding RNA is filed under the name Sus scrofa (pig). Its description in RNAcentral is "lncRNA (ENSSSCG00040071626.1)". Lineage: Eukaryota; Metazoa; Chordata; Mammalia; Artiodactyla; Suidae. The record is from RNAcentral.